CUUCAUUCAGUGUAUCCACCCUCUAUACACUGCCUGCACUGUGGCAGUUUAGAGAGGGGCAGAGAGAACAUAUUCACAUUACUCCAAUUAAAGAAUAUGUAAAAAUUAUUUUAUUUUAUUGUUAGUUAUUAUUGUUAACAACUUAUAAAUUAAAUUUUCUCAUAGGUAUGUAUGUGUAGAAAAACAAUCAUAUUAAAGGCAGGGCUUAGUACUACUCUCAGUUUCAGGCAUCCAGUAAGGACCUUGGAACACAUCCCACAUGGAUAAGGGGGACUAUUGCAUCUUAUUUUAAUUGCUAUGUUAUCCAGGUGCGGUGGAGCACACCUAUAAUCCUAGCACUCUGGGAGGCUGAGGUAGAAAGAUCACAAGUCCAAAUUCAAGCCCACCUCAGGCAACUUAGCAACUUAGUAAGACCCUAUCUCAAAAUUUAAAGACAAUUUUUUGAAGGGAGAUAGAAAAUUUGCAAAAUAGAAGGGGACCAAGAGAGGAAGACAGAGAAGGGGAGGGGAAGUGAAAAGGAUAAGAACAAAAUUAAGAUGUGUUAUGUACAUCUGCCAACUCUCUUCAAGGGAUGUAAUCAUUAUGUACUGCAAGCAUGUACUAAGAAAAACAAACAAAUAAAAGAGGUCUUUUAAAAGGAAAGAAAGGGGAGGCUGGGGGUGUAGCUCAGUGCUAAGGACCUGCUUUCAAUCCCCAGGACUGCAAAAAAAUAAUUGUAAUGUUAACUUAAUUCACAGCUUAAUGGUAAGGGAGGCCAGAGGAUGGAGAGGAAGGCUCUCUCUGCAUCCCCAUUGCUCUGGCCAUGGCUUCAUGCCAGUGCUUUGCUCACUAACCCUUACAGACGCCACACAUCCACAUCUCACAUCACUCUUCCUGGGAAAUAGGAGGAAAGAUGUACAUUAGUCAGCACCCUCCAGACUGUGUAUGAGAGUUUUCUUUUUCUCAGGAUUUUUUAAAAAUUAUUUUUCCUGGUAUUGUUAUUGCCUGUUAAUUUUAAAAAUAUUUGGUUUCAGUGUGCGCAAUCUGUUUUGAUCAUAUCCAUCUGUGAUGAUCAUUAGUUGUGAUUUGUCAGCUUGACUUCAGCAAGAACCACCUAGCAGGAGGCACCUGGACAGAUGAGCUGAAUUCUCCAGUGUGUUCCAUGGUUCUCAUCACCCCUGCCUCUCCCCUCCAGCCCUUCCCACACUAAUGUGAGUGCUCCCUGCCCAGCAUUCACACACCAUAUUUGGAAUAUGAUUCACUUUUUCCAUGCAUAGCAUAAUUCAUUUAUUUCUAAAAUAGGCCCUUAGGAAAUACCCAUCAAAUGUCAAAUUCUGGGCUUGCUCCUGUCCCCAAGUUACUAAAACUCUAUAAGUGGUAAGGUGGGGAAGUCACCAGCCUGAAUUCUGGGAGAGCUGACUGCUGACUCCCGUCCCUGCAUCUCCACUUGUGCAGAAGAGAGUAAAUUCCUUCUUCUCCUGGAUUCCUCCAGGCACUGCACUUAGAACCAGAGCACUGAGUAUACACCUGGGUUCCAGAUGACCUUGAACCAAUUAUCCAGCCUCUCCACCCUCAAUUUAUUCUGUGGACAAUGGGAAUCUGAUGGCUCAUAUCUGACAAGAUUUGUCUUACUAGUAUAGUGUACCCUAAAGGUAAACUUGUUUUUGGUACCAGGGAUCGAACUUAGGACCAUGAGCUUUUGAGGCAGGCGUGACACCACUCAGCUAAAUCCCUGGCCCUAAAGAUAAACUCUUUACAAAUAGCAUGAGUUUUCUUUGAAGUUCAAGGUUUCUUUCUUGUAUUGUGAAAAUUCUUUUUCUUCUCCCACCAUUUGUAACAGAACUAUAUUUUCUUGGUCCACAUAAUUUUGUUUUCCUUUUUCCUCCUCUUUUUCUUCAUCUCCCUCCUUCCUCUUCUCUUUCAUGUCCAUCUUUGUAUCAUUACUAUUAUUAUUAUUAUCAUUAACUGUUAUUAACCUAAGCCCAAACACCACAAAUUAAUUGUGAUGGAAGCAAAGACUUAGAAAAGGCCCGGGAAAUGAAGGAAUUGAAGAAACAGAGGCAGCUGCCAAAUCAGACUGGAGGCCAACUUAUUAAAAGGGCUCACAGCUAAGAGUUUGCUGUAAGGGUUCCUUGAGUCUCAGAGAUUUUACGCUUGUUUUGUUGUUGGUGGUG
Molecule: long non-coding RNA, 2153 nt
Organism: Heterocephalus glaber (naked mole-rat)
Lineage: Eukaryota; Metazoa; Chordata; Mammalia; Rodentia; Bathyergidae
Source: Ensembl